GAUUGAACGCUGGCGGCAGGCCUAACACAUGCAAGUCGAACGGUAACAGGAAGCAGCUUGCUGCUUYGCUGACGAGUGGCGGACGGGUGAGUAAUGUCUGGGAAACUGCCUGAUGGAGGGGGAUAACUACUGGAAACGGUGGCUAAUACCGCAUAACGUCGCAAGACCAAAGAGGGGGACCUUCGGGCCUCUUGCCAUCAGAUGUGCCCAGAUGGGAUUAGCURGUUGGUGAGGUAACGGCUCACCAAGGCGACGAUCCCUAGCUGGUCUGAGAGGAUGACCAGCCACACUGGAACUGAGACACGGUCCAGACUCCUACGGGAGGCAGCAGUGGGGAAUAUUGCACAAUGGGCGCAAGCCUGAUGCAGCCAUGCCGCGUGUAUGAAGAAGGCCUUCGGGUUGUAAAGUACUUUCAGCGGGGAGGAAGGUGUUGUGGUUAAUAACCGCAGCAAUUGACGUUACCCGCAGAAGAAGCACCGGCUAACUCCG
RNAcentral lists this ribosomal RNA (489 nucleotides) under Salmonella enterica subsp. enterica serovar Enteritidis. RNAcentral's name for it is "bacterial SSU rRNA". It matches the Rfam family "Bacterial small subunit ribosomal RNA", at positions 27 to 505 of the family's 1533-position model. Lineage: Bacteria; Pseudomonadati; Pseudomonadota; Gammaproteobacteria; Enterobacterales; Enterobacteriaceae. The record is from RNAcentral.